GACGAACGCUGGCGGCGUGCUUAACACAUGCAAGUCGAACGGAAAGGCCCUGCUUUUGUGGGGUGCUCGAGUGGCGAACGGGUGAGUAACACGUGAGUAACCUGCCCUUGACUUUGGGAUAACUUCAGGAAACUGGGGCUAAUACCGGAUAGGAGCUCCUGCUGCAUGGUGGGGGUUGGAAAGUUUCGGCGGUUGGGGAUGGACUCGCGGCUUAUCAGCUUGUUGGUGGGGUAGUGGCUUACCAAGGCUUUGACGGGUAGCCGGCCUGAGAGGGUGACCGGCCACAUUGGGACUGAGAUACGGCCCAGACUCCUACGGGAGGCAGCAGUGGGGAAUAUUGCACAAUGGGCGGAAGCCUGAUGCAGCACCGCCGCGUGCGGGAUGACGGCCUUCGGGUUGUAAACCGCUUUCGCCUGUGACGAAGCGUGAGUGACGGUAAUGGGUAAAGAAGCACCGGCUACCUACG
RNAcentral lists this ribosomal RNA (466 nucleotides) under uncultured bacterium. RNAcentral describes it as "partial 16S ribosomal RNA". It matches the Rfam family "Bacterial small subunit ribosomal RNA", at positions 28 to 505 of the family's 1533-position model. The record is from RNAcentral.